This 2630-nucleotide long non-coding RNA is filed under the name Sus scrofa (pig). Its description in RNAcentral is "lncRNA (ENSSSCG00025051812.1)". Lineage: Eukaryota; Metazoa; Chordata; Mammalia; Artiodactyla; Suidae. The record is from RNAcentral.
CAUCCAGCAAUAUCCAGCUAUUACCCGCAGUCUGCCCAUCUCCUGGGAAACCCAAAAUUCUUCCAUUGGGUAUUCCAGGACUUCCUGCCUGCAGAGACCCUCAGUAGAAGCACUGCACGCCCUGCUGUGAACACUUCCUGGAGGUUCAGAGAGAGUUAGGUAUAACUGACCUACUAUGGGCAUCCCUAUAAUAGUAGUUAUAUUCUCAUGUAUAUGUAAAAUAGAACUCUUAAAAUGGUGAAAUUUCAGGGCUCAAUUCCCUAGGAGAAUUUACCCUUGCCUGACUUCUAUUUGUAGCCUCCAUUUAAAACUUGGGGUAUAAAUAUUGUGUCAGUUAAAUAAAGGAGUGAUGACUUCACUUUUCGAAGACAGCAUUACCUUCCCUUUCAUGAAAUGUAGCUUAACCGUUAUUUGAUUGACACACUAUUAUAUUAUUCUCCCCCCACCCGACAGUUACACAUAUUUAAUAAAUUUUAUGUAUAAAAAGUAAGGUUAAGCAGUUUCAAAGUCAAGUUGUUAUGCUUUGCAUGGUUUUGAGAAUGAUCGUGGAAAUGAAAUGACAUGAGUGGUAGUAGGAAGUGGUAGCAGUGAUGAAUCUCAUAGGGCAUGGGAUUGUUCUUGGGCAGAGGAAGUCCCAGUGGCACAUGCUGGGACAGCGAAGAAUAAAUCUUAUAAAAAGCCUUGAGAAUAGGGCAAAAGAAUCACUCACCUUUGUAUGUAUGAAUGGUUUCUCUGAAUAAGUUGAAUAUACAUUUUUUAAAAAAGACAGUAAAGGAAGCAAACUGUGAGAAUGUGGCAGAACUUCCCCAGUGGAUGUUGUCAGUGGAUGGUGUUCAUUUAAACUCUCUCCCUCCAGACCUCUCCUGUGUGUACCCCUAACCUCCUCUCUCACCUCUUCUCAUCUUUACUCCCCUCACAGUAUCUUCCAUUCUGAGGUCUCAGUAAACAAUUUAGUGUGUCUAAUAAAUAUAAAUAUCAAGUAGACCUAUGUGUCAGAACACAAAGAUUUAUAUGCUUUCUCUUGCUUUCAGUCAAAACCCAGUCUCCUGUUUCCACUUUCCAUUGUCUGUCUACUUAUUCGCGGCCCUGCCUUUUAUUUUCUCUCAUUGCACAGUCGCUUGAAACCCAUGGAUUUAUACAAAGUUUAGAAAGGUGGGCAAGAUUGCCCCUCAAAUUUGUAGGACCAUGAUACAUUGCUAUAUUUUCAAGAAAUACUCACCAUAUUCAGAUUAUGUUGGGAUGAGUCAGGCAUCUUUGCUUCUUUAUAGUGAAAUGCGUGUGCUUCAUGAUUCCAAAUACCCACACUUUGCUGUUUCUCCUGUUUAAAAGGACUGACUCCGAUUUCUGACUCUGAUUUCUGCUGUGUGAUCUCAGCUAACUUACUAAACCUUUCUGAGCUCUGGUUUUCUUCCUCCACAAUAUGAGGCUAAUUAUGGGAACCACUUUAUAGAAUGGUUGUGAAGGAUUAAAUGACGAUUUUAAUAAAAUGAUUACCAAGGUACCUGGCAUACAGAAGUCCUAAAAAAAAUGGUAAAGAUUAUUAUUAGAAAGAAAUUUGAACUUUACAAAUCUGUAAUUGGUGUUUAAAGAUAUUAUUGUCAAUAUUACAUUUCUCUUAAGAUGUUACCUAUUGCAGUUUUCAAUGAGGCAAGUUAUAGAGAUGUCUGAGACAAAAAAAACAAAAAAACAAAAAAACAAAAACAAAACAAAACUAAGGUGAAAUAAAUAAUGUGGCAAAGUACCAUGUAUUUAAUAUUUGGUAGUCAUGAUCCUGUACAAGCCUCGUUGCUUUGAGAGUAAAUGCUGCCAGUGUAAAAGCCAGCUCUGAUUGAUGUUUUAUCAUUUUAUUAUUUAACUUUAUGCUGUGCUUUCAUUCCAAAUUUUCUUAUGUACUUGGCUGGAUGAUCAAGGAAGCUCUCAGUCUGACUUAUGUUUCUACUGAAAAUGAAAACCAAAUAUCACUAGAGGAGAUAAUGAACAGAGGUUAAGUAUUUUGAGGAGAGGACCUAGGAAAUGCAAAGGAAUAUUUCCUAAAUGUGUUUACUUGUUUCCAUUUCUUGUAUGACUAAGUAAGGUAUACUGAACCUGACAUUUUCACAGAUAACAACUAAAAAGUAUGGGGGGAAAAUUACCUGAAGGGCCUAGGAAGUGAACAUAAGCAUGUAGAUUCUAAAAGAGAAUUGAAAUUCAAAACUUGGAAGCAGGGACCAGUGCACAUGAGUUCCCCAUUUUACAACUAUUAGACUUGAGGGUAUGUUGAAGUUAACGUCACUUGGGUGGUGAACUCCAGAUAAACAUAGUCUUUUUGGUUUGAAAGAACCAAAGAAUAGGGUUCAGGGCAACCAGAGAGGGGAAUCUUCAAUGUAUAAAUUCAAUGUAUAAAUACAAUGUAUAAAUACAAUCUGGGAGUUCCCCUUGUGGCUCAGUGGUUAACCCGACUAGUAUCCAUGAAGACUUGAAUUUGAUCCCUGGCCUCGCUCAGUGGGUCGAGGAUCUGGUGUUGCCAUGAGCUGUGGUGUAGCUCACAGAUUCGGCUCAGAUCCAGCAUUGCUGUGGCUGUGACUUAGGAUGGAAGUACAGCUCAGAUUGGAACUCUAGCCUGGUAACCUCCAUAUUCCAUGGGUGCGGUC